GGUCAGCUGACACAUCCCUGCCAAUCUCCGGCAGACCCUCCCUCCCAGACCCUCCCACCUCCUGGACAGCAUCCAUGUUGAAGCUGCCUUCAACAUGGAUGCUGUCCAGGAAGUAGGAGGGUCUGGGAGGGAGGGUCUGCUGGAGAUUGGCAGGGAUGUGUCAGCUG
Pelobates cultripes (western spadefoot toad) is the source of this 167-nucleotide non-coding RNA. NCBI's taxonomy places the organism in Eukaryota, Metazoa, Chordata, Amphibia, Anura, Pelobatidae. The record is from the annotation of a GenBank genome assembly.